UACGGGGGGAGCAAGCGUUGUUCGGAUUUACUGGGCGUAAAGGGCGCGUAGGCGGCGCAACAAGUCACUUGUGAAAUCUCCGGGCUUAACCCGGAGCGGCCAAGUGAUACUGUCGUGCUAGAGUGUGGAAGGGGCUACUGGAAUUCUCGGUGUAGCGGUGAAAUGCGUAGAUAUCAGGAGGAACACCGAUUGCGAAGGCAGCUCGCUGGAACGUUACUGACGCUGAGACGCGAAAGCGUGGGGAGCAAACAGG
This 253-nucleotide ribosomal RNA is filed under the name uncultured bacterium. RNAcentral's name for it is "partial 16S ribosomal RNA". It matches the Rfam family "Bacterial small subunit ribosomal RNA", at positions 524 to 776 of the family's 1533-position model. The record is from RNAcentral.